GUAGUCAUAUGCUUGUCUCAAAGAUUAAGCCAUGCAUGUCUAAGUAUAAGCAAUUAUACCGCGAAACUGCGAAUGGCUCAUUAAAUCAGUUAUCGUUUAUUUGAUAGUACCUUACUACAUGGAUAACCGUGGUAAUUCUAGAGCUAAUACAUGCUAAAAAUCCCGACUUCGGAAGGGAUGUAUUUAUUAGAUUAAAAACCAAUGCCCUUCGGGGCUCUCUGGUGAUUCAUAAUAACUUCUCGAAUCGCACGGCCUUGCGCCGGCGAUGGUUCAUUCAAAUUUCUGCCCUAUCAACUUUCGACGGCUGGGUCUUGGCCAGCCGUGGUGACAACGGGUAACGGAGGGUUAGGGCUCGACCCCGGAGAAGGAGCCUGAGAAACGGCUACUACAUCCAAGGAAGGCAGCAGGCGCGCAAAUUACCCAAUCCCGACACGGGGAGGUAGUGACAAUAAAUACUGAUACAGGGCUCUUUCGGGUCUUGUAAUUGGAAUGAGUACAAUUUAAAUCCCUUAACAAGGAACAAUUGGAGGGCAAGUCUGGUGCCAGCAGCC
This 551-nucleotide ribosomal RNA is filed under the name uncultured fungus. Its description in RNAcentral is "SSU rRNA". It matches the Rfam family "Eukaryotic small subunit ribosomal RNA", at positions 20 to 575 of the family's 1831-position model. The record is from RNAcentral. Lineage: Eukaryota; Fungi.